This 4899-nucleotide long non-coding RNA is filed under the name Sus scrofa (pig). Its description in RNAcentral is "lncRNA (ENSSSCG00065015103.1)". The record is from RNAcentral. Lineage: Eukaryota; Metazoa; Chordata; Mammalia; Artiodactyla; Suidae.
UACAUUGGUAACGACCUUAAUGUUCACAUUAAAGAGGCAAAGAGUAACAGAGACACACAGAGAAAUAAUUUGCGAGUCUUUGAUUCUUUAUUGUAGGGCUGUUUGGCGUCAUGGAAGUAGGUAUUUGGAUUUCAUUUACCAAUCCUUAUGAUGGUAUUGAACUUCUGUGUAAGUUUUGUAUAUGGUUUGUAUGUUCUCAUAUCAUUUGGUACUCUACAUUCUUAGUUAUCCUAGACAGCGUAUUUAGAUUUGUUGUAGGGACCAGGUUUUUGUUUGUUUGUUUGGCUGCGGCCCGCAGCAUGAGGAAUUUCCCCGGUCAGGGUUGGAACUUGUGCCACAGUAGUGACCCAAGCCAUGGCAGUGACAAUGCCAGAUCCUUUGCCUGCUGUCCCACAAGAGAACUCCCAGGCACAGAUUUUUAAAACAUUUUUGAUGCUUUUCUACAUAUAGCUUCUGCAUGAAUUAUUUAAGUCCAUACAAAAGUUUUCUGUAGCUUGAAAUGUUUUGGGUACAGGUCUUGAGGAAUAUAUGCAGAGUUACACACGUGAGGUUCUGCUCUCACAUACAUAGUGGUGAGUUUACUGUGUAAAGAAUUGUGAUCAUGAAUCAGAGGUGGAUUUCUUUUCAAUUGUGGUUUUUUUUUUUUUUUUUUUUUUUUUGACUGCCCCCAAGCCAUGUGAAAGUUCCCAGGCUAAGGAUCAAACCUGUACCACAGCAGCCACCCAAGCUGCCUCCAUAACAACACCAGAUCCUUAACCUGCUGCACCAUGAAAGAGCUCUUUAAUAUAUAUAUUUUUAAUUUAACUCUAUGUACCAUUCCUGACAUGUAUUUUAAAUAAAGCCAGAUGAUCAUAAAGUCUCAUAUAUAGGUCUUAAGAAUUAGAAUGAUUGGUACUUUUCUUCAUUAAGAAUUCAAAAUUGACCAUAUAUUCUUAUUGACAAAUUAUAAUUUCAGAAUGCUUUAUAUGUAUUUCAAAUUGAUCUUCAGUUAGCAGUGGGUACUUGAAGUUUUAUUGUUCCCAGGCUAGGGGUUGAAUCGGAGCUGUAGCCACCGGCCUACGCCAGAGCCACAGCAAUGCGGGAUCCGAGCCGCGUCUGUGACCUACACCACAGCUCACGGCAACGCCGGAUCCUUAAACCACUGAGCAAGGGCAGGGAUCGAACCCGCAACCUCAUGGUUCCUAGUCGGAUUCGUUAACCACUGCGCCACGACGGGAACUCCUUGAGCAUUUAUUUAUUUAUUUUUUUUGUCUUUUUAGGGCUGUACCCGUGGCAGAUGGAAGUUCCCAGGCUAGGGGUUGAAUCGGAGCUGCAGCCGCUGGCCUAUGCCACACCCACAGCAACGCGGGAUCUGAGCCAUGUCUCCAACCUACACCACAGCUCAUGGCAACACUGGAUCCUUAACCCACUCUGUAAGGCCAGGGAUCAAAACCUGUGUCCUCAUGGAUGCUCGUCAGAUUUGUUUCCGCUGAACCACGAUGGGAACUCCUGAGCAUGAAUUCUUGGUACGUUUAUUUAUAAAUUACAUAUACUGGGCUAUUAUUUAUGUAAUAGAAUAUAAAUGCCGAGAGAUAAAUUGAAUAUAACGAAAAGUUAUAUUUCCUUAUUACCUACUCCAUUGGACUGUGUUUUGUUCAUGUUUUGGGGUUCAAGAACCCCAUUUUGGAAACCAUAGGGCAAAAUUGGGCCAUUAUUAGACCAAGCUUAGGUGAAUUCCAUGAGAUCAAGGACUUUUCUUGCUCGCUGCUAUAUCUUCAGCAUCUAAAACAUGGGAGCGUGGUGGAUGCUGUUGAAUGAAUAGGCAGAAUUAGGCUGGUUGGUAGGGAUGAGGACAGAGUCUAGCUUAGCACAGAGGGAUCUGAUAAGAAUAGAAACAAUUUUUGUCUGUUGCUGUUAGCUCCCUUGCCUAUAAAAGUGCCUGCCACAUAGUAGAGACUCAGUAAAUAUUAGUUGACUGAGUUAGUGGUGUAGAGAGUGUGCAACUCAGCAGGAGGGAUCUGGCAGACACCAGAGAUAAGCAUGAAAAGGUAAAUUCCAGGAGGUUCCCUCAAGCAGAACAGGAGGCCAGAGAUAGGCAUGAAAAGGUAAAUUCCAGGAAGUUUCCUAAAGUAGGACGGUAAAUGGAGAUAGACUAGCUAUAAGCGGGCAGAAAAAUACAGCCAGUGUGGGGAGGGGCGGCGGUCACAGUGUUAGCAAGAACAUCUCAGAGGAAUAGCUUUGGUAUCCUCGUAUCUUAAAAACUGUGACCUUCUUAAAUAAGAUCUGGGAGUCUGCGACCAUGAGGAUGUAGGUUCGAUCUCUGGCCUCACUCAGUGGGUUAAGGAUCUGACGUUGCCAUGAGCUGUGAUGUAGGUUGCAGACGUGGCUCAGAUCUCACACUACUGUGGCUGUGGCAUAGGUCAGUGGCUACAGCUCCGAUUCGACCCCUAGCCUGGGAACCUCUUGCUUCGGGUACGGCCUUACAGAAAAGAAAUAAGAUCUGUAUUUGACUCGUCUUUGUACCCACAGUGCAUAGAACAUAGUAUAGUAGGUGUCUGAUUCAUUUUUGUUGAAUUGCUCUGUUUUAUGCUACAUAGUAGAUUUAGGAGGCUCUGCAUGACCAGGAAUGGAUCGGUGUAAAGAUCAGAGGCCUGUAAAUGAAUCCUGCUCUGAUUGAAGCAAAGCCAGUGUUACUGGGAUUACCUCAUAACACAGACAUGGUUUUAAGCCUUGGCAGUGUUGCCUGCACAGAGGUGCUCUGGUGACCACAACUGCCAAAUCGUAUUGAGCUGUUUAUUUAAAUGUCAUUAUUAACAUACUUUUUUUUUUCUUUUUUUUUUAAAUGGCCCCCCCCCCCGAAUGGCAUAUGGAAGUUCCUGGGCCUGGAAUUGAAUUUGAGCUGCAGCUGUGACCUGUGCCACAGCUACGGCAACACUGGAUCCAUUAACCCAACUGAGCACUGAACCUGGCCAGGGGUCAAAUCUGCGCCUCAGCAGAAAGCUGAGCUGCUGCGUUGGAUUCUUAAUCUGCACCAUGGUGGGAACUCCUUAACAUGCUUUUAUCAACACUUUGUCAAUGAAGAAAAUGGAGUUUGUGAUAGAAUUCAUUCUUUCUGCCUUCCUGCCUUCCUUCCUCCCUCCCUCCUUCCUUUCCUUCUCUACCGCCUCGUGGCAUACUGAGCUCCCAGGCCAGGGGAGCUGCAUUUGUGACCUGUGCCACAGUUGUGGCACCAGAUCCUCUAACCCACAGUACCAGGCUGGGGAUAGAACCUGUAUCCUGGUGCUGCAAGACGCACUGAUCCUGUUGCACCACAGUGGGAAUUCCAGAAUCUUAUCUUUUCUUUUCUUUUUUAGGGCAGCACCUGUGGCAUAUGGAAGUUCCCAGGCCAGGGGUUGAAUCAGAGCUGAAGCUGCCAGCCUACACCGCAGCUCAUGGCAAUGCCACAUCUUCAACCCACUGAGCGAGACCAGGGAUUAAACCUGCAUUCUCAUGGACACUAGUCGCGUUUGUUACUGUUGAGCCACGACGGGAGCUCCUGGAAUUAUUUCUUACAUGCUGUCAUCUUUUGUUUUCUUCCUUCAUCACCAAAGCCAGCAUAUACCAUGGAUGACCCUCAUAUAUACUAUCAUAAUUAGGACUGAAUUUAUUUAUAAACAGAUAAAGUGGUUUGUAUUUUCCCUCUCAUUUUUACAAUUUUCUUAUUCAGACUUCCUCUUUAAAAAGAUGUUAAAAGUUCUUGUUUUGUGGUCAUAAUAAAAUAAACCUGUCAUGCAUUUUGGUGGGAGUGGUCAGAGGUGGGGAAAACAGACAUUUCCCAUGAGAAGCAGCUAUGGCAUUAGCUCUCUCCUUUAGAAGCUGGCCAGAUGAAGGCAUCCUUCUUUGGCUCUGACACUCUGGUCGAGACAGGUACCCCUUUCCUCCCACCACAGUUCAGUCUCAUUUAGGGCAAAUUUAUUUAAAGCAGUUUCACAUCUGCACAAUUAAUAAAUUACUAUGCUCUAAUUUGCAUUUCUGAUGUCUUGUAGUAAGCACAGCAAGUUCCCCUUUGCCCUUACAAAAAAACAGUUCAGUCUGCCCAAGCUUCCUAGAGCUGAAUAAAAAUUUCCCAAGAGCCCUCCUGCAUCUUUAGCAUACUCUUCAUAUAAAGGCUUAAACUGUUAAAACUUCUUUGCUCUCAUCCUUUUGGUCAUUAAGUCAUUGCAGGCACAAUAGUAAUCUGUGUCUUACCCUUGUUGUGCAGUCUAGAGUUUAUACUGAUUUCACCAACAUCUUAUUGGCUCUUUAUAAAUAUGCUGUGAAGUAGAUAUCAGGGUAUCAUUAGUCCCAGUUUUGCAGAUGAGGAAAUAGGUUCAUUGUUGUCUGAGUUUGCAGUGGCUUUCCCCCGCCCUGUGACAAAACCCCUGUUUUCCUCUAGAGGUCUGCCCACUGUGAAGAACAGAAUCUAUCUUAUUUAAACUAAGGUUAUUUUUUUUCUUUUUCUUACUUUCAACUGGAUAAGUUAUUGUAAAUACCUGGAACUACAGUGGCAUAGUCAGUAUGGUUGUUUAAUUGUUAAUGCCCUGUGGGCUAUAAAAUAUCAAUAGAAUGGGCCUUAAAUUCUUGGUGCAUUUAAAUCUAUUUGUGUAUUUAAAUAAGUGUUCUCAGAUCUUGUGGAACGACUGUCCAUUUGACUUAACUUUUUUACAGCUUGUGAUGGAAAAUUAAAUGCAUAGGGACCUCACACUGACAGAGAAUGUGCUUUGAAGUGUAUAUUAGGAUUCUUAAGUGAAAUUUGGAUUAUGUAUUGGGGCCAUUUUUUUUUUUCCUGUGAGACAUAUUUCUGAAAUUAUGAUGAAAUUUAAUUGGAGAAUAUGAAUUGGUAUCUAGCUUUCUCAGCUACACCCAUUUUUGGAAGACAUUCAUAUUAUAAGGUGAUAUCAA